GACGAACGCUGGCGGCGUGGAUUAGGCAUGCAAGUCGCGCGACGCAUUCCCUUCGGGGUUUGACGGAGCGGCGAACGGGUGAGUAACACGUGAGGAACCUGUCCCUACAUUCCGGAUAAUUGGCCGAAAGGCCUUGUAAUACGGGGGAGGGUCUUUGAGGGGCAUCCCUUAAAGAAGGAACGAGCAAUCGGUGCAGGGAGGGUCUCGCGGCCUAUCAGCUUGUUGGUGGGGUAAAGGCCUACCAAGGCGACGACGGGUAGCUGGUCUGAGAGGAUGGUCAGCCACAUUGGAACUGAGACACUGUCCAGACUCCUACGGGAGCUGCAGUCGAGAAUCUUGGUCAAUGCACGAAAGUGUGAACCAGCGACGCCGCGUGAAGGAU
This 382-nucleotide ribosomal RNA is filed under the name uncultured bacterium. Its description in RNAcentral is "bacterial SSU rRNA". It matches the Rfam family "Bacterial small subunit ribosomal RNA", at positions 28 to 409 of the family's 1533-position model. The record is from RNAcentral.